This 433-nucleotide ribosomal RNA is filed under the name uncultured Lachnospiraceae bacterium. RNAcentral describes it as "bacterial SSU rRNA". It matches the Rfam family "Bacterial small subunit ribosomal RNA", at positions 341 to 792 of the family's 1533-position model. Lineage: Bacteria; Bacillati; Bacillota; Clostridia; Lachnospirales; Lachnospiraceae. The record is from RNAcentral.
ACGGAAGGCAGCAGUGGGGAAUAUUGCACAAUGGGCGAAAGCCUGAUGCAGCGACGCCGCGUGAGCGAAGAAGUUAUUCGUAUGUAAAGCUCUAUCAGCAGGGAAGAAAAUGACGGUACCUGACUAAGAAGCUCCGGCUAAAUACGUGCCAGCAGCCGCGGUAAUACGUAUGGAGCAAGCGUUAUCCGGAUCUACUGGGUGUAAAGGGAGCGUAGACGGAUGUGCAAGUCUGAUGUGAAAGGCUGCGGCUUAACUGCAGGACUGCAUUGGAAACUGUACAUCUGGAGUGCCGGAGAGGUAAGCGGAAUUCCUAGUGUAGCGGUGAAAUGCGUAGAUAUUAGGAGGAACACCAGUGGCGAAGGCGGCUUACUGGACGGUAACUGACGUUGAGGCUCGAAAGCGUGGGGAGCAAACAGGAUUAGAUACCAUGGUA